RNAcentral lists this ribosomal RNA (620 nucleotides) under Hepatozoon sp. MRA-2009-2. RNAcentral's name for it is "bacterial SSU rRNA". It matches the Rfam family "Eukaryotic small subunit ribosomal RNA", at positions 454 to 1068 of the family's 1831-position model. The record is from RNAcentral. Lineage: Eukaryota; Apicomplexa; Hepatozoidae.
GCAUAUAGAGUGCUGACUAGGAUAUCAGCCCUUCACGUCCUUUNCAAACGCCUUUGAUCAUUGGAAUGAUCGCAAUUUAAACACUUUUUAAAGUAUCAAUUGGAGGGCAAGUCUGGUGCCAGCAGCCGCGGUAAUUCCAGCUCCAAUAGCGUAUAUUAAAAUUGUUGCAGUUAAAAAGCUCGUAGUUGAAUUUCUGUUAAAAAUAACCGGUCUGCUUUUAUUAAAAGUGGUAUCUUGGUGUGUUUUUAGCAAUAAUGUCCUUUGAAAUGUUUUUUACUUUAUUGUAAUAAAUAAUAUUCAGGAUUUUUACUUUGAGAAAAUUAGAGUGUUUCUAGCAGGCUAACGCUUUGAAUACUGCAGCAUGGAAUAAUAAAAUAGGAUUUUAGUUCUACAUUAUUGGUUUUAAGAACUAAAUUAAUGAUUGAUAGGGACAGUUGGGGGCAUUUGUAUUUAACUGUCAGAGGUGAAAUUCUUAGAUUUGUUAAAGACAAACUACUGCGAAAGCAUUUGCCAAAGAUGUUUUCAUUAAUCAAGAACGAAAGUCAGGGGAUCGAGGGAAGCGCAAAUUACCGAAUUCUAUCCCAAAACAAGGCAACGCCAGUGAGUGCACGCAAGAGAGG